Xiphophorus hellerii (green swordtail) is the source of this 2902-nucleotide long non-coding RNA. RefSeq lists it as uncharacterized. Lineage: Eukaryota; Metazoa; Chordata; Actinopteri; Cyprinodontiformes; Poeciliidae. The transcript is spliced from 2 exons. The record is from RefSeq and is a predicted model, not a curated record.
UUAGUGAAUAUUUUGAUAAGCGCACCAGAAGAGGAAGUUCUGGUCUCAGCAUCCUGGCAGCUUUCAGUUUGUCACCUGCUGCCGAGAUCAACUCAAAACCUUUCCGCGAUCGACCUAUUGAUAACCCCUGGUAUAGCACAUUUCAGCAGCAAGGCAUUUCAAAGUGCUUAACAUCAUAUCAAACACAGAAACACAAAGUCAUCAAGUAGGGGGUUCUUGCUUUUGCAUCCAUAAAAGGUUUACCUGUUACACUCCUACUGUGUUAUAUGGAACAAAAUACCUAUUGGUAUUUUUAUUCCCAGUCACGCUCACAAUCACACAGCUUAAAAUGAUGUUAACAGCCUUUCAACGGCCUUCUGGCACAAGGCUCCGUACACCUCUUCCAUGGAAUUUCGAGCAGGGACUCUGUCGUCCCUCACGGAUUUUUUUUGCAAUUAUAUGGUACCUGUUAAUGUCUAGAAUUUACAAGCAAUUUUUUUCUGUUACACGCAAUAAUCCUCAGUCACUCGCCGUUUUUCUUCCGGCACGAGGCUCUGUACACCUCUUUCACGGUGUAAUAUUGUCAGCAGUCUGGCUGGUUAUCUGUCCCACUCACACAAUCAUUUGUCGCACAAUUUGUGGAACAUGCAGCAAUUAUAAUCUGUGCUGCCUUUUGGUUUUAGACCCAUAGCCUCCAGAUGGCGCUGCUGCGCUGUAACAUGAUGAUCCAUUAGGUUGUCCUGCUGCUCUAAACUGGCAUUGCUGAGGAUAUUUGACAUCUAUGUUAUUAUUAUUUUUUUAAUGUUCCAAAUAUUUGACCAGUCAUGAUUUUUGCCGUAUCUAUCUAUCCUCGGCAUAUUGUGCAUAUUUUGGACUUUUAACAAGUUGCUGAGCUCAGGGCUCCUGCAGCUGUACGCUGUUAGGUAUCGGGGUUUUUGUUCCUUUUGUGGGGUUUUCUUUUCCUUUUUGUUCGUCUGUGGUUCCGUUAUUUAUCCACCAGAUAGCUCCAGAAGCUGCCUCCCUGGCAGGGCGUACCUGUGGUUCAGCGCACCUGUUGGUCAUCAUCUAAUCACCCUGGGGUUUAAGAGGAGCGCACUGACUGCACUUCUUCGCCUGAGUGUUUGCCAGUAAUGGUGUUCCUAGCGACGCUGUGUGAUCUCCUCGUAAAGAUCUCGUUCUGGCCCUCUGGAUAACCCAUCCUCAUGACGCCGUGGUGAAUACCCACUGGUUGCCCGAGUCCCACUUCCAUCUCCUCAGUUGGAUCUCAAGCCGACCCCGGACCUGCCAGUUAGCAGUAGGACCGCUCCUCUGCCUCCCUCUACGCCUGUACCUACCUGUCCAUCCUCCACCGCAGCCUCCACGUAGCUAUCCGGAACCACCUCCAUCGAGCCGUACUCUGGAAUCCAGAUCACUGUCCAGGACCUGCAAAUUAGGAGACUAACCCCGAGCCCACAGCCUACUCUCUCCCUGCAGUCAUUAUUCAACAUCACAAGUAAGACCGUUCCUGUUUACCCGUGUUGCUCACAUUUCCUACAACCUUGAACUCAUCAUUUUAUCUGUUGUCCUUCAGUGCGCCAGCGACUCCGUGAUCCUGCCCCCUGGAUAGACCCUCAUCCAUCUUAUUUUUCAAUAAACAUUAUACUACUGAUUCCUUUACUCCUGUGGUGUUCUGCAUGUGGGUUAAAAAACUAGAUCCAAACAUGACAUACGCACUGUGUACCUUAGAUUUUCCUUUAAGUAAAACAGAAAAGAAGAUUUUUUUACACUUUCUUUAAUUAUCUAACUCUCUUUACUAUUAACAUUUAGGAGAAAAACAAUCUAUUGUGUCAAAACAUCUUGUACGUAGCCAGUCUAUGUGAGUCCAUGGAGCUGCUCACAAAGCCUAAAUGUUAUUGGUCAAUUUACUUUUGUAAAUUUGGCAGCUUGGCGCUUUUUCUGUAAGCUAAAAAUGAACAAGAGGAGUUUGAAUCCUCCCGUAGUUGUAAGAUUGGUUGUUUAGAUCCUGCCAGAGCUUUUUACCGUGUGUGCAGUUCUGGCAGGUCGCCGGUUUAUAAGCUUUUUGUGUGUGUGUGUGUGUGGUUUGGCGAACUGAAGAGCUGACGGUUUCCCGUAUGGACAACUGUUUAACUUGCUACUGGUGGUUCACACUAAUGAUGUAAUGAUGACAAAACCUUCAUCCAAACUCGAUGUUUUAAUACCGUCGAUCUGUAUUCAGCUGUUCUCAGGUCGGCUGCAGACAUUUAUCCUCUUUUACAUUUUUCCAGACUCCAGUUUGGAAAAUGGAAUAAAGUCCAUUCCACCAUCUAAAUGCUCUGUGUAAAGCUGCCUUCUGCAUCUUCCUCCCCACUGACAACUUAACAUUUAUUCCUGAUUAUUUUUCACCAAAUCUCUAUGACCGCAGCGCAUUUAAUAACAAACAAUCAUCAGAUCAGCCAGACCGCAGCACAUGGUAGACCCAAAAUGUUUCCUCCAGGUUAGAGAUGUUUACUGUUUAUUAAGGGACAAAAUGCAACAAACCCACUGAACUGAUUGACAGGAGCCAUCAUAUCAAUUGAACAAAUGCCUGACAUUCAAAGUGUGUAACAGAGGAGACAAACACCCCAUGACCCUCCACCUCAAAAAUGAAUCUGGUGCUGCUGCUGACGGGUGUUGGACAUGGAUUUAAAUGUCCCAACAGUUUAUAAAUGAAAAUGUAAACUAUUCCAAAGUUUAGGGGCACAAAUUGAAAAACUCGAUCACCUCUGAAUUUCAUUUUCUAUCUAAGAUCAUCUUAGACAAACUGGUUGCCUGACCAAAGUACUCUGUACAAUGUGAAUGUUAUAGAAAUCACAGAGGUAUAAUGGGACUUUCAUCACUUUAAAAGUAAACAAUAAAAUCUUGAAGUCAAUCCUAAAACAAACAGGAAGCCAAUGGAGAGAAACCA